Molecule: non-coding RNA, 29 nt
Filed under: Mus musculus (house mouse)
Lineage: Eukaryota; Metazoa; Chordata; Mammalia; Rodentia; Muridae
Source: RNAcentral
UCUGAAGGAAACCUCGAGAGUGUCUUUGU